RNAcentral lists this long non-coding RNA (3213 nucleotides) under Mytilus galloprovincialis (Mediterranean mussel). The record is from RNAcentral. Lineage: Eukaryota; Metazoa; Mollusca; Bivalvia; Mytilida; Mytilidae.
UUUUGAUAACCACUAACCUGUAUACUUCUUCUUUUGCAGGAUACAUUUUUUUAAAAGUUUUUCUGAUACCAAACUAUUGAAAAUUGAUGGAGUACUCGAAACUUGUUGUGAUCAUUAUUUUCAUUUCUUUAUUUGUAAUACUGUUUAGUCUCACAAGACUAAGAACUAUUGAAAACAAUGUAGAACGUACAAAACCUAUUACUGAGAAGAGGACUUUCAAAAGCAUUUCAUAUUAUUCAACAUAUUUAGAGGACAUACACAAAACAAGGUUAGUAUGUGGCCAGCUGUGUAAUACUUCACGAAAAGGAAAUCCAGGAAUUUUUUUUGAUAAAAUUACAGCCAUUAUAAAUUGUGAAGCUUUAUUUCAAAACGAAUAUGUUGAUUCAUCUCAUGGACUUGAGCAUGCUCCAAGAAAAAUACCUUCAACUUUAUUGAAUGAUUAUACGAUGAAUGGACUAAUAAAAGUGCACGCUGCAUAUUUUAACCAACCAUACCUUGGUAGUACUGCGAGGAUACCUAAUUGGACUAAAUCGUUACUCAAGGAGUAUGUAGCGCGAGCUAAAGAAGGUAAACUGUUUGGUACGUACGGAAUAUCUGAAACUAACGCACUAAGGGACGGACUAAAACAUGCACCAGGAGUGAUAGGAGGGCGUGUCCUAGUCAUUGGUUCCGAGAAACCAUGGGUUGAAGCAUGCUUGCUUGAGAUAGGCGCAAAAAGUAUUGUUACACUUGAAUAUGGAAGGAUCAAAUCGGAACAUGAUCAAAUAACAACGAUGGUGCCAUCUGAAUAUAGACGAAUGUUUUUAGAUAAAACAUUAGGAUUAUUUGACGCAGUUGUAUCAUUUAGUUCCAUAGAACAUUCUGGACUAGGAAGGUAUGGGGAUUCUCUAAAUCCGUGGGGCGAUUUAAUAGUAGUGGCUAGGGCUUGGUGUGUAACAAAAACCAAUGGGUCUCUGUUACUCGGUGUACUUUACGACUUAAAUGGGGAUUACAUUACAUUCAACGCACACAGGUGUUAUGGUAAAAAAAGAUAUCCAUAUCUAACAACAAAUUGGAAUCAACAUUAUUUGGGAAAAGGACUUCAACGUGUUCAUGUGUUUACAAAAUAGAAGUAUUUAUGUCAUUAUCUAAUAUUUUUAUGUCUGAUACUAGUACUAGUAUAAUAGUAACGAAGCUUCAGAAUAAUUUCAUAGCAAUAAUAACUCAAUAAUAAUGACGUUCAACGACAUCUCUUUGAUGUUGCGGGAAUUUAUCAAUAUCCUGGGCAUCUCGUUAGACGUCGCAGUUAUAUUGAUUACCUUAGCUGUAUUUGGCAAGUCUGUUGGAGUUUUGGGUCAUAAAUAAUGUCAAUGUUGUUUAAUCUCGUACUUCUAACUUUUAAAACUUUUUAAUCAAUCGUUGCCGUUUGAAUCUCGUACAAGUUUCAACCACGUUCACAUUCAGGAUAUGCUAAACUUCUAUAUGCACUAGCAAGUGCAUGAGUAGAUGACUUGACCUUAACCUCACUUUCUACUAAUUAGACUAUUUACCGGAUUUGUUUUCUCAUAAGCAACACGACGGGUGCCACAUAUGGAGCAGGAUCUGCUUACCCUUCCGGAACACCUGAGAUCACCCCUAGUUUUUGGUAGGGUUCGAGCUGUUUAUUCUUUAGUUUUCUAUGUUGUAAUAUGUGUACAAUUUUUUGUUAGUUUGUCCUUUUCAUUUUUAGCCAUGGCGUUGUCAGUUUAUUGUCGAUUUAUGAGUUUGACUGUCCCUCUGGUAUCAUUCGUCCCUCUUUUCUACGUUGAUUGAUUAACAUUUUAAAAUUACCAUCAUAUUCUCAGUUAUAAAACUAACAGUUACCUUUUUUACAUGCCAAUUUUGACCCUACAUUUACAAAAUACGGCUAACUGGAUUCAUAUGACUUUGAUAUUCAGAGUGUGUGUGUGAUAAUACAUCUGGAAAGAGUUUUACCUCUGUGAUUGAAUAACAGUUAAAGAAUAUAUUUUUUUUGCUUUACAAUUGUAUGCGUUUCUCGAUAUGUCGCACGUUUUGCAUGUAUUCGGAUGAUGUGAUUCCUCACAAAACGAGCAUUUCAUACAUUUUAUCGGCUGAAAGUAUUGUCCAUUCUUUCCGUUAAUCGUUUCAGAAACAAACGAAGCGGUCGAUGAAAUGUCUGAUUCGUCAUGACUUGCUCCUAAAGAUUGUCAUAUGACCUGUACGCAGUGUCCCUCUUUAUUGCUACUUUAAAUGAUUAUAUGUCCAAGCAAUCGUUUUGCGGUCCUAGAUUAUGUUUUUCGUACAUCGGAAGACAACGUAUAGUAUAUUAAAGAACAGAAAAUAGUUACAAAAGUGUUCUCAUUUGUUCCCAAAGAUUCCAAACCGCGUAUGCUACUAUUAAUACCGUUUACAAAGUUUUUCAAGCUGUCUGCGAUUUACGUCGUCGUAGUUUAAUCAAUGAAAUUUCAAAUAUAGGUGUUCAAGACUUUGAGGGUCUAAUAAAAUCUCUCUCUUAGUAUUGCUACGUUCUGAUAGUAAUUUGCACCUGUAAUCUGGUAAUUAAUUGUCACAAGACAUGUCUUAUAUGCCACAAAGACGUCAGUAGUCCCAUGUAAGCCAAAACAAUUGCAUAGACAUUCUUUUAUUUCAGACUAAUAAAAUGUGCUGAACACAAGGGAGCAAGCAAACCAAUAGUAUCAAAUGGUGAAGUUGAAGUCAUCCCUACAUAGGGUAACGGACGCCAUCACGAGUUGGUUGACCAUUUCAAAUAUCUGUUUCACAGAUCACCCUAAGUUUUUGGUGUCGGUCGUGUUGCCAAGUCUUUAUUUUUUUAUAUUGUGUUUUUUGUACAAUUGUUUGUCUAUUAGUAUUUUUUUAGCUAUGGUGUGGUGUUUAUUUUCUACAAAUCAGUUUUAUUGUUCCUCUGGUAUUUUUUGCCCCUCGUUCACGUUAGCUGUCUGUAUUUAUGAUAAUAUACACUUACCAAAUUUAAAGAAAACACAUUUACACUAUUUUUGCUUACUUAUCUUAAAACAUAUAUUGCCAAACACGUAUCUUGAUGCAUAUGAUACACUACAAAAUAUGCUUACGUCGUUUUGAAACAUUUUUCAAAUCAUAAUUACGAAAUAACAAAACCACAUCUUGAAUGAAACAACUCUAUAACGUUAUGUCACAUACACAUCACGUUAUGUUAAAAGCACAUUGCCUGAUGACAUUGAAUAAUUGCGACACCAC